This is a non-coding RNA of Vicia faba (fava bean), 435 nucleotides long. NCBI's taxonomy places the organism in Eukaryota, Viridiplantae, Streptophyta, Magnoliopsida, Fabales, Fabaceae. The record is from the annotation of a GenBank genome assembly.
AGAGAUCCGCUUUCAUCUUCUUCUUCCCAAAUCGCUCUUUUCAUCAAGGCAAGUCUUUCUCUCCUUCCACCAGAUCUCUUCACUUUUUCAACAAAUGCAUCUCUUCUCAAUCUCUUUAUUAUCUUCAAUUUGUAUACUCUGAUUCUCGCAUGCGUUAGAUUUCUCCAUAUAAUUCCGUUACAAUUUAAUUCAUGUAAUUUGGUUUACGAAGUGCUGGAUCCAAAUCGCGUGUUGCGAGAUCACGCGAUUAUGUUGGAUCAUGAUCGCUUUUCUCAAUUUUGGUUUUUCAAUCGUGCAAUUUCAUCAGAUUCGCUUUCGUUUUGUGUAAUUAGAGUAGAUCAUGUUACGAUUCUCUUCCUUUUGCGUAUAUUUCGUUAUUAUUUUUAUUUUUUGUGUCAUUUUUGGUUUAAAUUUGAUUUGUUGCGAUUGAAAUGA